AUUUAGAAGCUCAUUUAAAUACAGGAUCAGUUCAUUUGCAUAUUGCUCAGAUGCUUCAGUGCUCUGAGAGUGUUUAUAGUGCUGUGAGUUUAACACUUCAUCACUGACACACACAACAAUCUUCAUCAACAUGACCUUCAUCAUCAUCUUCAUCUGGACUCUCACAGCGUUUGCUCAAGAGAGUAGAGGACAGAUCAGCGUCACUCAGAGUCCCUCAAUGACACCAGCUCAACCAAGAGAAACAGUGACGAUCAGCUGCAAAACCAGCACUGAUGUGUAUGAUGGUGAUCGUUUAUCCUGGUACUUACAGAAACCCGGAGAAGCUCCUAAACUCCUGAUUUAUUGGACUGACAGCCUUGAGUCAGGAACUCCAUCUAGAUUCAGUGGCAGUGGAUCUAACAGUGAUUUCACUCUGACCAUCAGUGGAGUCCAGACUGAAGAUGCUGGACAUUAUUACUGUCAGAGUGUACACUACAUCAGUAGUAGCUGGGUGUUCACACAGUGAUAAAGCGUGGUACAAAAACCUGUGUCAGUCAGAGUCACAGUGACUGAACUGAUGCUGCAGCUGCUCAAACACUAUCACUCACUACUGACACACAGAGACCAAACACACAACUACACAUGAGCUCACAACUGAGUCAGGAGUCACAUCAGCUCUAUUAGACUGGGAUCUGUCCUGUGACAGACGGGUUUGAGAUAAACUGAUAUCAAAGCAAACAAUUAUAUUGCAAUAUCUUGUUUUGGUUUUGUACAUUACAUUUUGCACAUUAAACUAUAAAGCAUUAAACUAGCAUUAACUUAGCUUCUUCAUUUCAAGCUGAUGAUGAAUUUCUUACUCAUAACUCAUUUCUGAUGAGCAGAAGUGAAACUGUUCCAGUUCAGAGCGUUUAACCGAUCAAACAGAGAAACUGUGAGUUUGAGCUGAAAUCAGAUUUGCAUUGACAGCUUUAGUGAUUCUGAUGAUCUCAGAAUAGAGCAGCUCCGUCUCCAGAGACCAUGUUCAA
Molecule: non-coding RNA, 1004 nt
Organism: Carassius auratus (goldfish)
Lineage: Eukaryota; Metazoa; Chordata; Actinopteri; Cypriniformes; Cyprinidae
Source: the annotation of a RefSeq genome assembly